ACUCCUACGGGAGGCAGCAGUGGGGAAUCUUGGACAAUGGGGGCGAACCCUGAUCCAGCCAUGCCGCGUGAGUGAUGAAGGCCUUAGGGUCGUAAAGCUCUUUCGCCUGUGAUGAUAAUGACAGUAGCAGGUAAAGAAACCCCGGCUAACUCCGUGCCAGCAGCCGCGGUAAUACGGAGGGGUUAGCGUUGUUCGGAAUUACUGGGCGUAAAGCGCGCGUAGGCGGAUUAGUCAGUUAGAGGUGAAAUCCCAGGGCUCAACCCUGGAACUGCCUUUAAUACUGCUAGUCUUGAGUUCGAGAGAGGUGAGUGGAAUUCCGAGUGUAGAGGUGAAAUUCGUAGAUAUUCGGAGGAACACCAGUGGCGAAGGCGGCUCACUGGCUCGAUACUGACGCUGAGGUGCGAAAGUGUGGGGAGCAAACAGGAUUAGAUACCCUGGUAGGAUAGCG
This 448-nucleotide ribosomal RNA is filed under the name uncultured bacterium. Its description in RNAcentral is "bacterial SSU rRNA". It matches the Rfam family "Bacterial small subunit ribosomal RNA", at positions 335 to 799 of the family's 1533-position model. The record is from RNAcentral.